This 238-nucleotide unclassified non-coding RNA is filed under the name Hevea brasiliensis (rubber tree). Lineage: Eukaryota; Viridiplantae; Streptophyta; Magnoliopsida; Malpighiales; Euphorbiaceae. The record is from RNAcentral.
GUAAAAGGCCAGCUAGGCAUGGAAACCUAGUAUUACAGGAAGACAGUGAUGCUUGUCAAUCUUUAGGGACUGUUAAUAUCCCAAAAUUAUCUUGUAGUAGUAAGUCCUGCUGUGUCCCUGGGUUAGGAGUGAACAGCAGUAAUUUAAGAAUUAGUUCUCUUGCUGCAGCAAAAUCUUUGCGUUCCUUGUCUUUUAGUCCUUGUGCUCCCUCCCUUAACUCUAGUCUUUUUAACUGGGA